GCCACAGGUAUGGAGAGAGGGUUAUUUGAGCCACUUGUUUUGGGUUCCUGGUUGAGACAUUUCCUGCCAUCCUUUGCCCUCUUGUGGCCUCUCUGAGAGACCGCAUGGAAUCCCCAGAUGGGUCCAAAGGUUUGUCUCUUGCUUUAGAACUGAAAAAGGCCCUUGGUGUCAGCGACAUGUCCUGCGCUCUGGAUGGCUGCUCGGAGGCCCCAUGGGACCCGACAGGAGCAGAUGAGGAAACUGAGGCUCAGAGAGGGACUUGUCCCAGGCAACCAGGCUCUGGUGCCGAGGUCCAGCCGCUCUGCUCACGGCCUCCUCCAGGAACAUCCACAGCGGCGUCUCGACCACAUCUCUCUUCGUUCCCAUCGGACAAAUAAGUCAAAGCAUCCACACCAUUUCGAGGCUUUUAUUUUUCUUUUAUUAUUAAAAAAAAUUUUUUUUAA
This is a long non-coding RNA of Herpailurus yagouaroundi (jaguarundi), 443 nucleotides long. RefSeq lists it as uncharacterized. The record is from RefSeq and is a predicted model, not a curated record. The transcript is spliced from 2 exons. Lineage: Eukaryota; Metazoa; Chordata; Mammalia; Carnivora; Felidae.